RNAcentral lists this transfer RNA (57 nucleotides) under Eropterus sp. UPOL A00548. RNAcentral describes it as "partial tRNA-Ser". Lineage: Eukaryota; Metazoa; Arthropoda; Insecta; Coleoptera; Lycidae. The record is from RNAcentral.
AUAAACAAUUUUUUUUGCCUUUCAGACAGUUAGAAGCUCUCAAGUAAAUAUUUCUUU